AUGCAAACCUUGAAAUUUGGAUAUAGAUGGAAAAUAGGGACAUGAGACAAGAUUAGGUUUUGGGAAGAUACUUGGUUUGGCACCUCCCCCCUAGCAGUACAAUUCUGGCACAUCUACAUGAUUUGCAAUGAGCAAAACAAAAGUGUGAGAGAUGUCUGGGAUGGUGAAACACUGAAGUUGAUUUUUAGGAGGAACUUUGACAGUAAGAUGAUGGAACAAUGGUACCAGCUAGUGGAGAUUGCUAAAGAAAUCACCUUCGAUGGUGACUCUGAUGCUCUGAUCUGGCAACUUGAGAAUAAGGGUGUCUACUCCUCUAGUUCUUUGUACCAUGUGAUUAACUUUAGAAGGGUUCAACCCCUGUUCCUGCCAGCCAGGAAUAUUUGGUCGUUUGUCAAUCUCUUUUUCCAAAAGAAUUUGGGUGCAAACUUUGAAACUGUGGCCCAAUUUUAG
Molecule: ribosomal RNA, 450 nt
Filed under: Triticum aestivum (bread wheat)
Lineage: Eukaryota; Viridiplantae; Streptophyta; Magnoliopsida; Poales; Poaceae
Description: partial small subunit ribosomal RNA
Source: RNAcentral